Long non-coding RNA from Frieseomelitta varia, 204 nucleotides. RefSeq lists it as uncharacterized. The record is from RefSeq and is a predicted model, not a curated record. The transcript has 3 exons. NCBI's taxonomy places the organism in Eukaryota, Metazoa, Arthropoda, Insecta, Hymenoptera, Apidae.
GAGAGAGAGAAGGAUUUUUGUGCGUUUCGUCUCAGAGUCGCUGCCUAGACUCAUCAGUGGGGUUGCUGGCAGCGACUCCUUACCCCAGAAACGCUUGUUGUUGUAACUAUUCGCUAGGGGCUGGAUGGUCACCCAUCCUAGCGGUUCCGCACUCUGUUUGCUUAACAUCGAAUAUCGGUUGACUUCGACGUUAGGCGCACAGCC